Molecule: long non-coding RNA, 304 nt
Filed under: Setaria italica (foxtail millet)
Lineage: Eukaryota; Viridiplantae; Streptophyta; Magnoliopsida; Poales; Poaceae
Description: long non-coding RNA (SITA_LNC002991)
Source: RNAcentral
CCCGGUCCUCGUCGAUCCACCCAAUGGCCACGCUCUGGGUCCGCAGCCUGACGCCGCCGGGCGCCCUAGGCGGGCCGGCGCGGGAGGCCAGCCUGAUGAGCUCCCUCACGUCGUUGUCGGCCCCGCUGCCAACCGGUAGAACUCGUGGCUCUGGCAUCGCGGCAACGCCACCAGCCCCACUAGGCCUCCUCCCCGACCACCACCACCCGCACACGCCGCCAUCCGACUCACGUACAGGUCCCGUGCGCGGAUGAGCACGCGGAACGGUGCGCGCGCGCACCACCCAGCACUGCCAGCACUCGCA